Molecule: ribosomal RNA, 854 nt
Filed under: uncultured bacterium
Lineage: Bacteria
Description: bacterial SSU rRNA
Rfam family: Bacterial small subunit ribosomal RNA
Source: RNAcentral
GAUGAACGCUAGCGGCAGGCCUAUACAUGCAAGUCGAACGGUGUCUUCGGACAUAGUGGCGCACGGGUGCGUAACACGUAUGCAACCUACCUUACAUUGGGGGAUAGCCUUUCGAAAGGGAGAUUAAUACCGCAUAAGACAGUAACUAGGCAUCUAGUAGCUGUUAAAGAUUUAUCGAUGUAAGCUGGGCAUGCGUCCAAUUAGCUAGUUGGCGAGGUAACGGCUCACCAAGGCUAUGAUUGGUAGGGGAACUGAGAGGUCAAUCCCCCACACUGGCACUGAGAUACGGGCCAGACUCCUACGGGAGGCAGCAGUAGGGAAUAUUGGGCAAUGGACGCAAGUCUGACCCAGCCAUGCCGCGUGCAGGAUGAAGGCGUUAUGCGUUGUAAACUGCUUUUAUACAGGAAGAAACGACUCUUGCGAGAGGCAUUGACGGUACUGUAUGAAUAAGCACCGGCUAACUCCGUGCCAGCAGCCGCGGUAAUACGGAGGGUGCAAGCGUUGUCCGGAUUUAUUGGGUUUAAAGGGUGCGCAGGUGGUUUAUUAAGUCAGUGGUGAAAGACGGUCGCUCAACGAUUGCAGUGCCAUUGAAACUGGUAGACUUGAGUAAAGUAGAGGUGGGCGGAAUUGAUAGUGUAGCGGUGAAAUGCAUAGAUAUUAUCAAGAACUCCAAUUGCGUAGGCAGCUCACUUGGCUUUUACUGACACUCAUGCACGAAAGUGUGGGUAUCAAACAGGAUUAGAUACCCUGGUAGUCCACACUGUAAACGAUGAUAACUAGGUGUCGGCCGAAUCUGGUCGGUGCCACAGCGAAAGCGUUAAGUUAUCCACCUGGGGAGUACGCCGGCAACGGUG